CCUACGGGUGGCAGCAGUGAGGAAUAUUGGUCAAUGGACGAGAGUCUGAACCAGCCAAGUAGCGUGAAGGAUGACUGCCCUGUGGGUUGUAAACGUCUUUUAUAUGGGAAUAAAAUGUUCCACGUGUGGGAUUUCGGAUGUACCAUAUGAAGAAGGAUUGGCUAACUCCGUGACAGCAGCCGCGGGAAUACGGAGGAUCCGAGGGUUAGGCGGAUUUGUUGGGUUUAAAGGGAGCGUAGGUGGGUUGUUAAGUCAGUUGUGAAAGUUUGCGGCUCAACCGUAAAAUUGCAGUUGAAACUGGCAGUCUUGAGUACGGUAGAGGUGGGCGGAAUUCGUGGUGUAGCGGUGAAAUGCUUAGAUAUCACGAAGAACUCCGAUUGCGAAGGCAGCUCACUGGACUUCAACUGACACUGAGGCUCGAAAGUGUGGGUAUCAAACAGGAUUAGAUACCCUAGUAGUC
RNAcentral lists this ribosomal RNA (460 nucleotides) under uncultured bacterium. Its description in RNAcentral is "partial 16S ribosomal RNA". It matches the Rfam family "Bacterial small subunit ribosomal RNA", at positions 338 to 795 of the family's 1533-position model. The record is from RNAcentral.